UACAGAGGUCCCGAGCGUUGUUCGGAUUCACUGGGCGUAAAGGGUGCGCAGGUGGGUUGGUAAGUUUGGUGUGAAAUCUCGGAGCUUAACUCCGAAACUGCAUUCGAUACUGCCGUGCUUGAGGACUGGAGAGGAGACUGGAAUUUACGGUGUAGCGGUGAAAUGCGUAGAUAUCGUAAGGAAGACCAGUGGCGAAGGCGGGUCUCUGGACAGUUCCUGACGCUGAGGCACGAAGGCCAGGGGAGCAAACGGG
This 253-nucleotide ribosomal RNA is filed under the name uncultured bacterium. RNAcentral describes it as "partial 16S ribosomal RNA". It matches the Rfam family "Bacterial small subunit ribosomal RNA", at positions 524 to 776 of the family's 1533-position model. The record is from RNAcentral.